GAAGGAUCAAGUAAAUUCCAUUCUUCCCCAGUGAAGUUCACAUGCACAUCAUCAAAAGUCACUGCAUUUGCUCCAGAACCACAUAGAAGAGGGCCCAAGGACCUCGACUGCCAUCUUCUAAUGUAUGUCUUGUCUUCAACAGCCUCAUAGAGAGUGGAUGUCGUCUUGGUCUCAACUACUCCUUUCCAUUCAAAUGUAUACUUUAGAUAU
Mastomys coucha (southern multimammate mouse) is the source of this 210-nucleotide long non-coding RNA. RefSeq lists it as uncharacterized. The record is from RefSeq and is a predicted model, not a curated record. The transcript is spliced from 2 exons. NCBI's taxonomy places the organism in Eukaryota, Metazoa, Chordata, Mammalia, Rodentia, Muridae.